RNAcentral lists this long non-coding RNA (418 nucleotides) under Elaeis guineensis (African oil palm). RNAcentral's name for it is "long non-coding RNA (EGUI_LNC077660)". Lineage: Eukaryota; Viridiplantae; Streptophyta; Magnoliopsida; Arecales; Arecaceae. The record is from RNAcentral.
CCGUGGGUGGGGGAGCCAACGCUCCUUCGGCUGCCCCCUCAGUUGCUCCUUCCUCAGACGGUGCUUCGGGUGGCACCACCAUCGCCGACAGUGCGAUGACCGACUCAUAGCCCGACGCUCGUUCGAUGUCGGGCUGCACUGCCACCGUCGCAAUGUCGGUCGGCGAUGAUAUCUGAGGCCUCUUGGGAGGCCGCAAAGGUCCGACCCCGGACGUCGGUCUCUUCCUCACCUCAUGUUGCCGAAUAUCGGCAUCUGUCAGCCUCACUCUCAAUGGCACUACCCCAGAUUAGCACGAGUCCCAAAGAUAAAUGAAAAGAUAAAAGAAUGACCGACAGACCGAACUGUACUUAGAUGGAGAACCGAACUCAGGCCGGCAUCGUACAGAGCUUGCUCGGUGAUGAGCUCCCUCUGCUUCGGC